This 365-nucleotide ribosomal RNA is filed under the name uncultured bacterium. Its description in RNAcentral is "partial 16S ribosomal RNA". It matches the Rfam family "Bacterial small subunit ribosomal RNA", at positions 338 to 696 of the family's 1533-position model. The record is from RNAcentral.
CCUACGGGUGGCAGCAGUAGGGAAUUUUCGUCAAUGGGCGCAAGCCUGAACGAGCAAUGUCGCGUGAGCGAGGAAGGUCUUCUGAUCGUUAAGUUCUGUUUAUGGGGAAAAAGAGCGGAGGGAGGAAAUGCUUUCUGAUUGAUAUUACCCUUCGAGGAAGUCACGGCUAACUACGUCCCAGUAGCCGCGGUAAUACGUAGGUGGCGAGCGUUAUCCGGAAUGAUUGGGGGGAAAGGGUGCGUAGGCGGCGUGCUAAGUCUGGAGUGAAAGGUACCGGCUCAACCCGUGCAGGCCGUGGAAACUGGGGGGCUAGAGAGAACGAGAGGGAGGUGGAAUGCGAUGUGUAGCGGUAAAAUGCGUAGAUA